Molecule: long non-coding RNA, 158 nt
Organism: Syngnathus typhle (broad-nosed pipefish)
Lineage: Eukaryota; Metazoa; Chordata; Actinopteri; Syngnathiformes; Syngnathidae
Exons: 2
Source: RefSeq, a predicted model, not a curated record
CUCCGACUGGCAUGUAUCAAACGAAUGUCCUCAGGGCUUUUUAUCAAAUUUUACAACUUUAUGAACGUCGUGAUUUACGGGCGCCUGUUUCCAGAGCCCCCCUUCAAUCACGAGCAGGGCCGCGGUCCAAUGAGAGUCGAGCCGGCCUGCACUGCGGC